This 68-nucleotide transfer RNA is filed under the name Marmota monax (woodchuck). RNAcentral's name for it is "tRNA.Ala". The record is from RNAcentral. Lineage: Eukaryota; Metazoa; Chordata; Mammalia; Rodentia; Sciuridae.
GGAUUGUGGCUCAGCAGUAGAGUGCUUGAUUAGCACGUGUGAGGCCCUGGGUUCGAUUCUCAGCACCA